Molecule: unclassified non-coding RNA, 222 nt
Filed under: uncultured fungus
Lineage: Eukaryota; Fungi
Description: sequence contains ITS1, 5.8S rRNA gene
Rfam family: 5.8S ribosomal RNA (bases 174-222)
Source: RNAcentral
UCUCCGUAGGUGAACCUGCGGAGGGAUCAUUACUGAGUGAGGGCUCCGGCCCGACCUCCAACCCUAUGUGAACCACCUCGUUGCUUCGGGGGCGACCCUGCCGUUCGGCGCGGCGCCCCCGGAGGCUCAUCAAACACUGCAUCUCUGCGUCGGAGUUUAAACAAAUUAAACAAAACUUUCAACAACGGAUCUCUUGGUUCUGGCAUCGAUGAAGAACGCAGC